RNAcentral lists this transfer RNA (74 nucleotides) under Parcubacteria group bacterium CG2_30_45_37. RNAcentral's name for it is "tRNA-Gln". It matches the Rfam family "tRNA". Rfam says of the family: Transfer RNA (tRNA) molecules are approximately 80 nucleotides in length. Their secondary structure includes four short double-helical elements and three loops (D, anti-codon, and T loops). The record is from RNAcentral.
UCCGAGGUCGUCCAAUGGUAAGACAUCGCCCUCUGGAGGCGAGUAUCUUGGUUCGAAUCCAAGCCUCGGAGCCA